GGCCGGGUCCCGUACAAUAGAGACUUUUGUGAACCCCGCCAGGUCCGGAAGGAAGCAACGGUAGCAAGGGAACUAUGUGAUAUGGGGUGCCUGGCCACU
Molecule: signal recognition particle RNA, 99 nt
Filed under: Bdellovibrionales bacterium
Lineage: Bacteria; Pseudomonadati; Bdellovibrionota; Bdellovibrionia; Bdellovibrionales
Description: signal recognition particle sRNA small type
Rfam family: Bacterial small signal recognition particle RNA
About the family: The signal recognition particle (SRP) is a universally conserved ribonucleoprotein involved in the co-translational targeting of proteins to membranes. Archaeal SRP consists of a 7S RNA and homologues of the eukaryotic SRP19 and SRP54 proteins.
Source: RNAcentral